AGCCGCAGCUCCGCGGGCAGAGAGGGCGGAAAGAGGCCGUGCCGUUCCCCAGGGAGCGGAGGGGCAUGCCCUCCCGCUCCCAUCGCCCCCGCUGCGCACGCCGGUCCUGCCGCGCCGCUCCGGCGGCGGCGGUGCGUGCCCCGGGGGCUGGUAGGUGCGGGGCCGGGGCUGCCCAAGGACGGCGCGAGUGCGAUUGUGAGCACGGGCAGUAAGUUAUUUGCAGAACCUGGUUGCCCGCAUUUCCAAGCGAAAGAAUACGCUGCAUCAGCAAUCACGUACUUUAAACAGUGUACUGGGAAGCGCGGCCGCGCAUCUGCCUCCGCGGCACCUCCCCAGAGGGCCGGCGGGCACAGGGCCCGGCCGCCGCUGCUGUUGCCGCCGCGCCCCGCGCCACCAGCUGACCACGCCGGGGCCAAUGGGCUGCGGGAGCGCGGCGGCGGCUGGAGCAGGUGUCACCGCCCGCGGCCUGCGGGGGGUUUAGUGGGGCCGGGAGCGGCGGGAGGCCCGGGAGAGGUCGCCGGGAGAAAGGGGCUCUGGCUGGGCGCUGAGAGCUGUGCCGCCGCUGCACGGGUAGCGCACGGCGUUCGUACCGCUGUCCCGGUGCGGAGAGCGGUUGUUCAUCCAUGGGUGUUUCUGGGGCACAGUCACGUCCUCGGUGUUGCCGUGGGUUGUGCACACACACAACUGCUAGAAGUGUGGGAACUGGGUCUCUUUAGCUUGGAGGAGCCUGAGGGGUGAUGUCAUUAAUGUGUAGAAAUAUGUAAAGGGUGAUUGUCAUGAAGAUGGAGUCAGGCUCUUCUCGGUGACAACCCGUGAUAGGACAAGGGGUAAUGGGUACAAACUGGAACAGAGAAGGUUCCACUUAAAUAUGAGAAGAAACUUCUUCUCAGUAAGGGUAACAGAGCACUGGAACAGGCUGCCCAGGGAGGUUGUGGAGUCUCCUACUCUGGAGGCAUUCAAAACCUGCCUGGACACCUUCCUGUGUAACCUCAUCUAAGUGUUCCUGCUCCAGCAGGGGGAUUGGACUAGAUGGUCUUUUGAGGUGCCUUCCAAUCCCUAACAUUCUGUGAUUCUGUGUGAAGUGCGCUUCGCAACACCUGUGACCGCUGGGAAACCAGGAAACCUCAUCGCCCCUGAAUUAAAACGUUGACUUGAGUGCCAGCAUUAUGAGGACACUUAGUAGUACACCUGAUGGUGCAACACAGUGUUCCAGGUUGUAACUAACUAGUUGCUAAGAGCAUCCCAGGGACCAGAAGAUCAUCUUGAAGGUUCAUGCACCGAUGGCUUCCUGCUCUCUGAUGGGGCACAAGGUACAGUGGAUAGCAGAAACAAUCAGUUUUGUUGGUAGAGACUUGGAUAUUCACUCUAGCACUGGUGUGAUCUAAGGGAACCGUAUUUAUACCAGUCUUUGUUUUAAAGGCACUGAAUGACCCUUUCUGUCAGCAGAGGUUUGAUCACCAAAGCGAUCCUUGACGCUAGAAGCAACUGAGGGGUCUUGUGUCUUGGACUUCUACUCCCUGAAAAGGAAAAGAUCUUAAAGUGCUUGAUUGCAGGGUAAAUAUUAAAUUUCUUCACCCUCUGGAAAACUUAUUUUAAAGAUUAAAAAAACUACCAGCAGAGAUGUCUAGGCUUGGAUGGGCACUAUAAACACCAUCUCCCUACAUUUGUCUUCUGAAAUAAAUAUUUGAACCAUAAGGUGUCUCAUCAUAGCUAUGCUACUGGAAGGCAAAAAGAACCAGUGCCCAUGCAAUGUAUUCCCUACUUCUAUUCCAUAACAUAGAGUCAAAGCCUCUUAAUCUGGUAACCACAGUGCUCAAAUUCUGCAAAAAAUGAAGGGCUAUGUAGGAGAACACAUGCUAGCAGCUAGCCUAGAUGAAAUUAGCACAGUUUAAGAUCUCUGCUUAUGCAGAGGAGUUAUAUGCCAGGCAUGGACAAAGAACCCUUUGGAAGCACAGUGCCUAAAUUUCCCACUGGAGCCUUUAGGUUAUUUUACCUUAUCUUACCUGGGUUCACAGCCCCAGCAAGUACAUAUAGAGCAAUCAGACCCUUCUGUUGCUCUUUGUGUGUAUAUUAGUUUUACAGGCUAAAAGGGUUUGGUCUCAUUGAAGUCUCAAGGUUCAGUGCAAGAGGUGCCUGGGUGAAAUGUAAUUGCAACACAAUGGGAGACCAGACUAAUAAUGUUAGUGGUGUGCCUCAAUACAAGUGGAUCUGCAGAGCAGUGCAGUUGCCGCUGAGGACCUGAUGUCUGCACUAUAUGUAUUGCAGAAGGGUUCACUUUAGACCAGUUCUUACCUGAAUAUUCAUUAGUGGCUGGAGUGCAUUAAGUGAACCCCUGGAGCACAUCUUUUGGUUUGGUUUUAUUUAAAAGCAAUGCAGCUUGCUUUCUGUCAAGUUAUAAACCAAAGCUCAGUAUAAGUCCAGAUGGUCAGGAGAUUUACUCUGUAUUUGAACUACAGUGCUACUGUAAAGGCACCCUUGGUGUGCAAGUCUCGCUCGACUUGAGUUUUGUAAGCUCUCAAAUGCAGGUUAUUCUGUGUGGAGCUCCACAGCUUCACUGAAAACACUCCUGCACAUCCUUCUGUCUUGUGAUCAGCCUCUGAGAGGAAGAGUUUGGGGCUGUCUAAGCCUUAGGCAGUUUGUCCCCUACUUUUCUAACUGCACCUCCUCCUAUGAUAUACAGGAACUCACUCCCUGGGUCACCUCUAUGUCACUAAUAUGACAUCACAGACAUUAAUACUCACUGGACAUAACUUGAUAACCACUAUCCUCAGUUUGCCAUUUAGUCACAUGCACUUAAACAUCCUCCAGGGUUACAGCAUCCUCAAAACUUACAGAAAAACUACCUGGCCUUUUCAGAGCACACUUUGAAUGCUCUUCAGUUCUACUCUCCUCUCUUCCAUAGAAAACUCAGCAAUGCUCACAGAAAAUCCAGACCUCAUACAAAGAAAAACUUGCACUCAGCUUUGUGAAAUCUAAAUGAAGUAGAAUGUAUAAACACUCUUGUUCCCUGUUUUUCUUCUUUCGGCCAAGAAAAUCUCAAGACAGGCUAACUAACAUGCCAGGCUCAGCCAAGCUUCUUCCUGGUCAAAGACUCUUCUUUAUUAUGCAUUUCUAGAACUUUGAAAGGAAACUUAACUCCUUUGUGGGUGGGUUCUUUGUGCCUGUGUCCUUUCUAAAGAAGUAUCUGUUCAGUCUCUGGACAGUAUUAUAAUAAGGGCUAAUUAGAUUGUAGGCUGCCAUUAGCCUUCAUGUGCUACUGUGGACUUUAUACUCCCUCUCUAAUGAGAGACAAGCAGCAAAGUCUUUUGUGACUAUGAUUGAAAGAGGUUUGCACUGGAUUUUAUUUUCCUUUGGAUUUGGUCUUAAUUUUUUUCAGCAAAGUAAAAAUGAGAAGUUUACUAAUUUGCCCUUUAUAUUUCCAUAUUAAUGCAAUUUUUUGGUACUUUGUAAAAUGUUCACAUUUCAGGUUUGUGAUUAAGUGCAUAAGCCAUGGUAAGGUAGACUAUAAACAUGUAAAAUGUGAUAUUCAGUGCUAGCCUGUGAUUUUUCAGAUCCUGUUCUUUAAAUAUUUGUUUGUAUGUAAAUUGUAUAAAGCCCCAGCUGAAUUUUCAUAAGUCACAUACUGUAUUUGAAAGUGAAAAUUUCACAUGGGUCUUACUUGUCAUUCAGUAGAGAUGAGAAACAACUUUAAAAAAGAGAGAGUCCAAUGCACUGGUAUAUCUGAGAUGGGAGAUGUUAAUAAAUGCUGUCUACUAUAGGGGUGGAAGCAGGAUGCCUAAAAAUCUGUCAGAGAACUGAGUGGAAAAAAGGACUAAAAAGGUGUGUUUUAUAUACAAUUGUUAAUAUAAAAUAUAAAAUUAAUUGCACAGUAGUUUUGCUGCUUGGCAUUUUGACAGAAUGAAGUGUAAUAUCUUGGAAUCCAAGUUUUAAUCUCUUCUAUGCAGGUUAGCAGAUGACAAAGCUUGAGAGUUUUUUGGUCAGGGUGUUUUUAGGUUUUGUUCUUGUUCUUUGGUUGUUUUUUUUUUUUAAGAAUAACAUUUGAAUUUCUGAAUGGCAUUGUAUGUUGUGAAUAUCAAAUAUCUUUGAGAGAUUUUUGAGAGAUGUUUUGAGACCCAUGAGGUGCCUUUUCUAAAGCAAUUGCUUUAAAUGCAAAUGAGUUGUUUACAAGGAAUUAUGCCACAGGCAGUUCCUCCAAAGCAAUAAUAAUAAGCAUAAUAAUGCAUGCUUGAACUCAUAAAAAAUUCGUAAUACUGCCUCAUCACAAUGUGGUCAUGGUGAUGCACCUGAUACUGCAAUUUCUAAUAUUUGAGGCAGAGUGUACAAACUGUGCCAAGGUAAGUGUACUUGCCUGUGUGGGAGUGUGACUCCCACAUAAGCAGACCUGCAAAAAAUCAGUUUUCUUGCAAUGGAUAUAAGUGAAAUUAUCAAAACAUUGCAAGUUAAAAAUCAGCAAGCAAUUAUUGAAAAAAAGCUUGCCUGUGCCUACAGCAUUAGAGUUAUUAGAAAUGUUCUCAAUUGAUAGGUAUUUAUUUAAUAUACAGCUCUUCAGUUGAAUGAACUAUCACUUGGUUCAUAAAUGGCCCCACAUAUCAGAGGAUUCAACUCAGAAUCUUUGCGUUAUCUGCUAUAACUGGGCCCAUUGUUAAUAUAAAAAUGGAAGGAUGGAGAAAAAAAGAAUGAAAAAAAUGAAAAGAUCACAUUUAUACAGAGAUAAAGAGCAGCGUGUUUAAUAAGACUUCUGGAGCUACUUGCUUGUAUAAUGACUGAUUAUUGCCAAUUUAGUUUCAAGUUUAGGUUAAAGAAUUACAGUGAGUUACUAAUAGGGCAUAUGUAAAUACUAUAUGUAUUUAACAAUGGGCAACAGAGCUGGAGCAGAGACGACCAGGAGAUAAGUGGAACAAAAUUUGGGGCAGCUGAAAAUUAAUUCAUCGUCUUUUCAAGUUAAACUUUGCUUUAUUGUGCAAAACCAUAGACUUCCAUGCUAUAAAACAGAAAUGAACAGAUAAAACUUGCUGUCUUCAGCCUCCCUGUUAAGUUAAAAUUUCCCAAAGCUAAGAUUAUAUAAAUAAAAAGCCUUAUGGUAUAAAUCAAGAGUUCUGACUAUGUAGUGAAAUGGGGACUGUGUAAGGAGAUUAACUUUUGUUCACGUUUGGAUCAGAUACAAUCGUGUACAACAAAGCUGUUUCACGGUAAGUAUUUUAUAUCUCAAUUUUGUAUGCUUUGUGCUGAUUACAUCGGUCAGUGUUAGUGCAGGAAGGGAAGGCAGGUAACAGGCCUCUGAGGUGCAGAAGGGCAAUACUGAUCAGGAGUAUUCUACCUGCCCACAGGUGAUGAGGCCCACUGUAAACCAGGGCAAACAUUCCUCUGGUGUAGCAUGCAGUGUCACGGAGGGAUGUAGCCUUUGGGAAAUGGUUUAGGUACAUGCAGUGCACAGUUUUAAAUCACCUGCUGUCCUGUUUUAAGAACUUAGCCCUUACACUACAUCUGCCUAUCAUCAAAAUCUUGAGCAGGCUGGAUAAGAAGUAUUGUUUAGGAAUAUCAGUAAACAGUAAAAAAGCAGAACUGCUUUCCAUGGGGAAAUAUGAUUCAGCUUCUUGUUCAUUAAAAAUGUGCAAAAGAAGACAAAAUUUCCACAAGUAGUUAUAAAGCCAGAAAAUUUAACCCUGCACAUAACUGUGUACUGAGUGUCUGCCUUCUCUUAGACCCUGUUGGUAGAAGACAGUCCUGACAUAACAAUUGUUACCAGGUACCUGUCAAACACAUGAAAUUCCAUUUGAACACAAUGAAGUGGUGUUUGCUGUCGGGAGAGCUGAACAUAGGAACAAGUAACCCAGAGAGGCUGUGGUCUCUAUAUCUGUGAGAUAUUAAAAACUCAUCUAGAAGCAGUCCUGAGCAACCUCCUGUAGCUGACUCUGCUUGAGCAGCGGGAUUCAACUACAUGAUCUCAAGAGGCCCCUUCCAACCCCAAGAAUUCUGUGAUGCCAGAGUGUAAAUGGAGCUACAUAUGUAACUAAUGUAUAACUCACCAAGUCCACAUAAACUUUCUAGAUUAUGGUGUUAAAAUCAGCUCUUUGGUGGGUUAAAUCCCGUGAGUGCAUCACUGUGGUACCUCCUCUAAACAUCUGAGCAAAGGAGUUAGAGGUGGGAUGAGAAACAAGGCACAGGAAUGACGCAGGUGCUCCACACCACUUCUGAAGCAUUGUCUGGUUAAAAGAGUUAUAUUAUUGUUAAUUUGUGCUGGAGACUUAAUAUGUGUAGUUUGUGAAUUGAAUUGGAAUCAAUCUCUACCCCUAAAUCCCCAGUCAAAAGUUGAAGAAUUAUUUGUCUGCACCUUGUCUGUACUCCAAAUUCUCAUCCAUAAACCUGAACUAGUAAAACUUCCUGUCUGUGUGCUGACUGAAAGUCAUCUCAGCAAAUACUAUUUCUUCAUUUAUUUUAAAACCAUACAUGUGUAAUUAUACUUCACCCAGUUACUUCUUGGACUUCUGAGGAAACCUGAUAUAUAUGUAUAAAAAAAUUCUUAAGCAAACAGAAGAUAAUUUUCUGUGACAACUGGAAAAUAGAGUAAAUAUGAAGCAUGUCCUGUUUAGAAUGGGUGGGUAAUUCUCUGGUUCAGCUGAAGUCAGGUUCAACUGAUCAAGGGAGAACAGUAAUACGCAUCUAGCACAACAGCCAGAUUACAGGGGGCAUUUCAUUCAGUAGCAGAGAGGCAGUGCACUGGCUAGCAAGGACAAUAGUAACCGAAUACCCAUCUCAAAGAUUUGGCAUAGCCUUUUUUUUUUUUUAGCAGUUUGGCUUUGAUGAUUUUGCAGAAGCUUGUAUUGUGUUUGGGCUGCCAAGCAGACCUGGCGGUACCUGCUGUCGUCUGCUGGCCCCUCUGCAGGAGAUGCUUAUCGCUGCCAGCUCUUCCUCUCGUGGUAGGGGUGACUCUCAGCAGAAUGCCAUGCUUCUGGCUUUUUAGUAUCUGCCAGACAAUGCAGCAGUAAGCAGGCUCUCUCCGUCACCAGCUGGAAGCUGUUGUUCUAUCUAAUUUUUUAUUCUAGUGCCCCUCCUCAAAAUGCCUUUUACACCACUUGUAGAAACUGUGUCAUUUUCAGUAUGUGUCUUUCCCGUGAUACAAUCUGCUGCUGAAGGGUCACAUCUCUCUGGGCUAACAGUGGCAGGAGGUCCCUACCAUACUGUGAUGAUAUUGCACUACAGAUGGAUGCAUAGGAUGGUUUUCCUGGAUAGUGAUGCUUUUUUUUUCUUUUUUUUUUUUCCUCCUCCACAUAUCAAAAAUGUUUGGUCAAAAUGGAUUAAUAUUGUGGAAAUGGAGAACAUGAACAAGAAAUCUCCAGGAGGAACACAAUUGUGUGUACUCCACAGAUGCGGCAUAAAGAAAUGGCAGUUUAAGCAGAUGUGAAGCGGCAUCAAUAUCAGGCUUAACAGUGUGAUUGCUGGCUGAUAAAAUGCAACCAAAUAAACCAGAAGAAGAGACCAAAUUAGGAUGUCUUUGCUGGAAGUAAUCUUGGAGACUGUAAAUAUGAUAAUUAGGAUAGCUUUAAAAUCCUUUAGGUGCCUUUUUGAAGUAUAUUAGCUGAUAAAUCUGACUAGUUAAUCUAGUAACUGGUGAUUGCUAGGGAUAAUUGAAAAUGCACAAGAAUUUAAUUUUUUGCCGAAAAAUUCAUGUGAAUGGGGGUGGAAGAAAUCCUGUUUAUGAACAUUUUGCAAAAAAAUGUAGCCUGUUUUCAAGCACCUUCAAGUCUUGCAUGUACUUAUGCAGCCACUGACCGAGAAGCUUUAUCAUUUAUGAGCAGCCCAGAUGGCACAUUGGGAUUCAGAACCCAACCUAAAUCUUUGGAAGACUUGAUUUAAUUUUGGCUGGUUUAAAUGAAUCACAAAACUGUCCCUUCUCUUUGUGUUUUCUGAACCUAAGCAGUCUGCAGUUUGAGAGGGUUUUUUUGUUUGUUUGUUUGGCUGUUUGUUGUUGGCAUCGUAAUAUAAGAGAUGUCUUCUUUUAAUCAGAAUAAAUUAUAUCAUGAAUGUUUACAGCAAUGAUUGGAAAGAGGGUUUAUUAAAAUUUCAGACGUUCCUGAUGGAAGCUGAGGAAAUCUUGUAUUUUCCACCUUGUCACUGAAAAAAUACCCAAGUAUGUCUAUUAUCCUGAUAAGAGAUUAACAUUGGGACAGCAGCUUGCUGCUUAUCACAGAACUAAAUAGAUACAGUGGAUUCAGAUAGAAGAAGUCCACAUCUUUCUGUCAGGGCCAACAUGCCUACUUAAAACCUAAUUAACUGUGAUAUAAUGAUGUGUCUUCUCUUGGGAACUACUGGUCUGUGAUAAGCAUAGGGUAUAAUGCAGGUGAAUGCAAACUACUAACAUUCAGCAUUAGUAAAAGUUUUAAAUGGCUACCUAAGUCUCUACGAGCUGCAUUGUCUUAAUAUAGAAGUCAUCUUUUUAAGAUAUUUAAUAUACUGGAAACACUUAAAUACUACAUCUUUUCCACUUCUGUGAUGCAGUUCUUCUAUCCUUCAUAAAUGAAUUAGCAUGUCUAAAUAACCCCAUACCACUUCUAUUAUAACUAAUCUAUAAACAGUUUCCUGAUUCAACUAAACAUCUAAAUUUAUGCCCACUUUUAACGCCUUCAGUGGGUCUGAGGUGAAAAUUUGACCCUUCUUCUGAAUUUAAUGAUGCAGCUUUCACUGAUAAGGAUACAUGAUCAAGCCUGAGCUCAUGUAACUUACUUAUUCAAGGCCAGUGUUCUAGCAUCAUUAAAACAUUAAAACCAAUGCACAGAGUGUAGUUUCUAUGCCACAACUGGUACACAAUACAUUUUGAGUGACAUCAUUCUUCUUUCAUUAUGAGCAGAUAUUCUUAGUUUUCACUAAUGUGCCAAUAAGUUGAAAGGGAAAAGAAGUAAACGAGCAGAAUAUUAAAGCAAAACAAAAAGCAGCUCAGAAUGAAAGUGUGCAUGCAAAUGAACAUAUGUGAUAGUGGCAGGAAGUGGUUGCAUCCUAAGUCAUCUGCCUUUUUUCCAGGUUUCACAGUAUUCUCUAAACUCUAAAAUUAUAAUGAUGGAUCAAAUCAUGUUCACAAAAUCAAAACAAAAUACAGUGUUAUUAGGUUGAACAGAUAUACCAUGUAGAGUUUGUUACCAUUUGCUAAUCUCCAAAUCAUUUAUUAAGAUCAGCUCUCAUUUUUUAAUUUCAGUAAUCAGUGUCACUGUGUUAUGAAAGCACCUCUGCAGUCUAGACAGUACAUACUCAUUUAUGUGAUAAAUAAUGGAUAAACACUGAGCGUGCCAUUAGCUGUUAAUGCAGUAGAUUGAUUCCCUGCAGCACAUACUCUCCAUCCUUGUUUUAGCACUUAUGCCACCUGUCUCUUGCACUUACUGUAUGAUGCUUCAAUAAUGAGAAUGGGGUUCCCUGAUCAUUCUUAAUUUAGCUCAUUUUUAUCAUUGCAUAAGUAGGUUGGCAUUACUGUGACAGAUAUGCAAAUCAAAAGGUGCCUCACUACUACUUUUAUGACUGCUAUCUCUAUUCUAUCCAAUGCUUUUAGCAUAAUGCAGAUUAAUUGUGGAUAACCAGAGAGAAUCGGUAGACCUAUUUUCUUUCCACAGAUUUCCAUUUUAACAUAUCACUACUGCUUUGGCCAGGUGGCUGGGACAACGACAAGUUAUUUCAAGUCUCUGCUCCCAUUUCCUUCAGCUGUAGGAGCAGGCAUUCAAAGUGAAUUAAAGCAAAGAGACAAAUCAGUAAGUCACCAGGGCAGGAUGGCAUUCAAACAAUAUUUUGAAGGAAGCCAAGGGUGAAAUUGCAGAACUGCUGGCCAAGUUGUCUCACAAAUCUUUAGAAAUGGCCACUGUGCCAGACUGCCAGACUUCCACCUACAGCAAGGGCUCUAAAAGAGACCUAAGGAACUGCAGACCAACUGCAGACCAACAGCUGACUCCAUUCCUGUUUAGGUAGUAGAAUAUAUCUCACAGAGUAAGACAGUUGCUCACAUGGAUAAACAUCACCUCUUGGGAAGAAGUCAGCAUGGCUUCUUUAAAAGGAAAGGCCAUCUCAACCACCUGCUGAAGUUCUGUGAGGGCUGUCAAGCACACAGAUAAAGGGGGACUAAAUAUUUUUGAUUUUCAAACUAUCUUUGACACAAUUCCAUGCCAGGGGCUAUUACAAAAGGUAAUUUUCCAUGAGGAUGGGGGAGAUGUUCUGUUAUGGUCUGAAAGCUGGUGAAAGGAUUUGGCAAAUGGAAAAGUUUGAUGAUCACCACACUAAGGGUGUGGUCAGUUACCAGGAUUCAGUGCUUUAACCAGUUUUAUUCAACACCUUCAUCAGUGACAUGUAGUAGGAUGUAUGCAGUGAAUUCUCCAAAACUUCUUUUUGGGCAAUAAAAUGCAAUGCUAAUAAUAAGGAACACGAUAAACAACUUGUUAAGUUGGAUAAGCAGGCAAGGAGGAGUCAUACUAGCUUCAAUGCAGACUACAGAAAAAUCAUCUAAACUCCAUACCAGCACAAUGUGAACUGAAAAGCUGUAACUCAGAGAUCUUGGAGUUACCAUUGACGCUUCCUUGACGUCAUCAGUUCAAUGUGAGGUGGUAGCCAAAAAAGCCAAUAAAAUGUACAUCAUCAGGAAGGGUAUUGAGAACAAGACAGGAAACAGAUUGCCAUUUUGUCAGGCGUCAGUGCAUCCACAUUGUAGUACUAUGUGCUACUCCAUUCACCAAAGUUCAAGAAGACACAGUGGAAUCAGAAAAUGUAUGGAGAAAGCAGCUAAAAUUGUUGAGGAGAAAGAGCAGCUGUCUCAUAAGACAUUAAAAAAACCCAGGAAUUUUCACUUAGUAAAGAGUGUAGAGGCAUGUAUGAUCUAAAUCAUGAAGAUGACAAAAUACUAAGAGACAGCCAACAAAACUAGAACAUCAGUUUAAAAUGUAUUUUUAAAGUACUACUUUACAAAGCAGGUAAUAAAUUUCUGGAAAACGCUGCUUCUCCCCAAAAUGCAUCUCCUUCUGACACAGUUGGACAGAGAAUGUUUGGCUGAAUGGACCACUGCUCUGAAACAAGGGGCCAUUUUAAUUCUUAUAUUCUUGUGUAGCAUUUGAGGCUAACAUAGGCAAAGUACCCUACUUGCACACCUUUGUCACAGUUUUCAGUCAAAACCAGGAAAAUAUGGAAAAAAGCGUGCUUCUUCACGCACACAAUGCAAAGACAGAUCAGCAGACCAGAGGUGCUGCAGAUGUCAAAUGUGUGUCCCACAAAUAAAACGAAGGCCCAGGGCAGGAGAUGAAGUUCACAGCAGAUGAGGAAAACUGGUUUUAGCCUCACUAAGGUCUGUGGAUGUUACAGCUAUGAACAUGUAGUUUCUGCAUGACAGAGCAGUGUGCCUCAGCAUUGUCAAUGCACAGUAGUUGAUGGAUGUGAGUGUUGUUAUUUUAGGUGUUUUGAAUGUUUUUGACCCAUGACAAUGCACUAGAUAUGGCAUGGUGAUAGAUCAGGGCAAGAAUGUCCAUGGCAGAUGCAUGAUUAUACGUGCAUAAGAAGUUGUUUGUGAUUGUAAUGUGAUUCAUUAUGUACUGAUUGUUCAAAAGGGUGUUUACACGUAGAUUUGUUACAAAUACUCGUAUAUGGUUCAAUUAAAUAAAAUUCUUCUGUUGUAGAUUCUAACAGUCUAA
Columba livia (rock pigeon) is the source of this 11648-nucleotide long non-coding RNA. RefSeq lists it as uncharacterized. The transcript has 2 exons. The record is from RefSeq and is a predicted model, not a curated record. NCBI's taxonomy places the organism in Eukaryota, Metazoa, Chordata, Aves, Columbiformes, Columbidae.